RNAcentral lists this ribosomal RNA (763 nucleotides) under uncultured bacterium. Its description in RNAcentral is "bacterial SSU rRNA". It matches the Rfam family "Bacterial small subunit ribosomal RNA", at positions 40 to 842 of the family's 1533-position model. The record is from RNAcentral.
CUUCAGGCCUAACACAUGCAAGUCGAACGCUCCAGCAAUGGAGAGUGGCAGACGGGUGAGUAACACGUGGGAACCUUCCCUUUGGUUCGGAAUAGCCCAGGGAAACUUGGGGUAAUACCGGAUAAGCCCUUACGGGGAAAGAUUUAUCGCCGAAGGAUGGGCCCGCGUCGGAUUAGCUAGUUGGUGGGGUAACGGCCUACCAAGGCGACGAUCCGUAGCUGGUCUGAGAGGAUGAUCAGCCACACUGGGACUGAGACACGGCCCAGACUCCUACGGGAGGCAGCAGUGGGGAAUAUUGGACAAUGGGCGGAAGCCUGAUCCAGCAACGCCGCGUGAGGGAUGACGGCCUUCGGGUUGUAAACCUCUUUCGCCUGUGACGAAGCGCAAGUGACGGUAACAGGUAAAGAAGCACCGGCCAACUACGUGCCAGCAGCCGCGGUAAUACGUAGGGUGCGAGCGUUGUCCGGAAUUAUUGGGCGUAAAGGGCUCGUAGGCGGUUUGUCGCGUCGGGAGUGAAAACCAGGUGCUUAACACCUGGCUUGCUUUCGAUACGGGCAGACUAGAGGUAUUCAGGGGAGAACGGAAUUCCUGGUGUAGCGGUGAAAUGCGCAGAUAUCAGGAGGAACACCGGUGGCGAAGGCGGUUCUCUGGGAAUGACCUGACGCUGAGGAGCGAAAGUGUGGGGAGCGAACAGGAUUAGAUACCCUGGUAGUCCACACCGUAAACGUUGGGCGCUAGGUGUGGGGUCCAUUCCACGGAUUCC